Panicum virgatum (switchgrass) is the source of this 5324-nucleotide RNA transcript. RefSeq lists it as uncharacterized. The transcript has 8 exons. NCBI's taxonomy places the organism in Eukaryota, Viridiplantae, Streptophyta, Magnoliopsida, Poales, Poaceae. The record is from RefSeq and is a predicted model, not a curated record.
AUGCGCCUUGUUUCCUUUUCCCCUUUCUAUUUUAUUUCUCAUUUUCUUUUCCUCCUCUCUCGCGUUCCCCAUUCCCUUUCCUUCCCUCCUCCCGAUCUAGAGCAGCGCCGCCGGGAGGCCGCUCGGGCUGCGCCGCCGCCGCGAGCCCUCCCCCCACCCCCACCUCUUCCUCUCGUUUCCUAUCCAUUUAUUUUUUUCCCCAUUCUCUUUUCCUCACUCGCCUAGGUUUUCUUGCUGCCGCAGCCGGGUCGAUCCGCGCCCAUCGUUCAUCGCCGCUCGCUGGAGAGGUGGCUCAGACUCGACCUCGGGGCUGGGGAUGGCGUGGAUCUCACGAAAGUGAUGACGGAUGAGGCUAGCUUCGACCAUGAGGGAGCGACGCGAGUGGGGUCGGAGCACGGUGGCGGAUCCUGCGGUGAUGGCUGCACCGACUCUGCACACGGCGGGGAGGAAGGCGACGUAGCGGUUGAUGAAGGACAUGCUCCCUUGCAGGGAAGGGAUUAGCGCACAGUGCUCGCGCGCGCUGGUGCUCGUUGUGCCCGCGCCCGCCCCGUGGCCACCCUCCUCCAAUGUCGUCCUACGCGCGCUGCCGUAGGAGGCCCAAUACCGCGGAGCCCGUGCGUGGCCGACUGGGAGCAGAGCAAUGAGAGGAGGCACGACAGUGCCGGGGGCAACACGUCUCUCUACCGGCGCAGGCAGCAGGCACGGUAGCAGCCUUGCAGCACAAUGCAGAGCCGCUGAUGCAACGAGCGAGCAAUCCCGGGGGCAACACGUCUUUCUAACGGCGCAGGCAGCAGGCACGGUAGCAGCCUUACAGCACAAUGCGGAGCCGCUGAUGCAACGAGCGAGCAAUCCCAGACAUUAGCUAGCACAGCGCUCUUUGUUCUUCCAUGCUGAAUGUGUUUCUGAUGUCUCUGUUGUUGGCAGGGGGAGGUGUGCAAGGCUCUGGCAUUGAUGGAUCCACGUUUCAUGUGAUACUUGGCUGGACGUUGCUAGUGUCGCCAUGUCGGAGAAGGCGUACAUUAGUUAGUUCAAUACAAAGAGGCCAUUGUUUUGCUGCCGUAGAAUUUGUAUGUGUGGAAAUAGGCGCAAGUACUGUUGGAUGUUUGACCAAGCAAAAGUAAAUAUGAGGACAGUGAUUCAUUAGAUGAGUCCUUGGGGGAGGGGGGUUGAUCAAGGGACUUUGCCUGCUGUUUUUAUGUAUCAAGUCAAUGGUACUUCAUCCGGGCUUGUUAAAUUAGAAAGAAGAAGCCGAAGAGUAUUGUUGAGGAAUGAUUUUUUUCCACCCACCGACUUUUCUAUAUCGGCACAGAUAUCUUUGUUUGCAUGUUUAUUUCUAUUUCAACGCACAGAACAUUUUUAUAUUCCCUGUAAACAUAAAUAAAACAGAGUAAAAUGCACCCUGGGUACCUAAACUAUUAUGUGGGUACCAGAUAGGUACUUCAACUCGGAAACGUAACAGACAUGUACUCAAACUAUUCUAUGGGUACUAGAUAGGUACUCUAAGACAGAAAUGUAACAGCCAGGUACUUAAACUAUUCUGUGGGUACCAGAUAGGUACUCCAACUCAGAAACUUAACAACCAAGUACUCAGUUUAUUUAUGUUGAUCACUCGUCAGCUAGCAUGCUGCUACGUGAUGUCCGUUUAAUGUCGAGCGCAAAAGAAAUGAAAUCAUGCAUGCGGCAGUAGCAAACGGUGGUGGCAUUUAAUUCCUCGUCGAUAAAUAAUAAUGGUAAUAACAAAGCAAUUCCUCAUCCUGAGAUUAUUGUGCAAGAGCUUGUCUGGAAUUAUUUAUGGACGAAUUUAUAAUAUUAAUAAUAAAGAUUUCCUCAUCUAGAAUCAGGUGGAGUUAGUAAUUGUUUUUAUCUCAUAUAGGGUUUGUUUUUCAUUCGUGUGCUUCACCAGAUUAAUAGUUUAGAAAAAACUGCACAAUUUACUUGCCUAAAUAUUCUUGCAUCACGGCUGAAUAUUAUGAAUUUAUAAUAACACUAGCCUGACAUGGUUCUUACAAUACUGCUGUAAAAAGUGCCAGUGCCUUUUAUUAUUUUCGACCAGCAUGUAUGAAUCAAUAGUAAUUAGAUGCCACCACCGUUUACUAUUGCCGCAUGCAUGAUUUCAUUUCGUAUGCGCUCGACAUUAAACGCACUCGCUCGGACAUCACACAGCAGCAUGCUAGCUGACUAAACAGAUCGAGUACUUAACUGUUACGUUUCUGGGUUGGAGCACCUAUCCGGUACCUACAAAAAUAAAAUAGUUUGAGUACCUAUCUGUUACGUUUAUGAAUUGGAGUAUCUAUGUGGUACCCACGUAAUAGUUUAAAUACACAGAGUGCAUUUACUCAAUAAAACAUGUAUACCAAGUUUCGUUCACAACCUUUUUAAAAUUUUUUUGGCGGAGUUAGGAAAAAGUAUAGUGCAAACUUGUUUAUUUUCAUUUUCCACAUUUUUUAAAACAUUACAGCAAAAAUAUAUUUUUAUAUUUUAAAGAUUUUGCCCCUAAAGAAACGAACGUAAAAUUUUAUUUAAAACUUACUUUUAUUUUAAUUUUCACUCCCCCACCCAAUUAUUACACCCAUAUUCCCACAUCCCGAAAAUGCAGUAGAUCGGCCUGCUCGCUAAUCGCUAUCCAAAUCGGAACAGCACGCGUGGAGGAUUACUGUAUUCCAGAAAGAGAAUGGUCCGACACAGUAGUAUUAGCCAAAAAAAGGAAAUAUGGACUUGUCAGAGAUUGGCCGGGUAGAGGGAAGCUAACGGGCGACCGUAAACUAGAAAACCCCCGUGUUUGGUUGUAAUAGCAAAAAUUUCGCGAAAAAGAAAUUUUAUAUACAUGGUGUAUUAAAUAUAGUCUAUUUGUAAAAAAAAUUUAUAGAUAGAUGCAACUUUGCGAGCUGAAUCUAAUGAGUCUAAUUAAUACAUGAUUAGAUACAGUAAUGUUAUAGCGACUAUGCUCUAAUCAUCGUCAAAUCAUGCGGUCAAAUACCUCAUUAGGUACAAAAUUGCUACAGUACCAAUGGUUGUAGAGGUGUUUUUGUAAUUAGACUUAAUUUAAUAUCUCUAAUUAGUGUUCAAAGUUACAAAAAAAAUUCCAUCAAAUUUUUUUCACCUCUAACCAAACACAGCCAUAGCGGAAGCUUGUGUGGGCUCUUGCGGUGUGGAUGGAGGCCCAAAAACAAAGGCAAGCAGGUAGUGAGGAGGCCCACAUGACAUACGAGGCAAGCAUGUAGUGCGCCCGUGCCCUGGCUGGCCCACAUGUCAAAGGCAGAGGCAAAGGGAAAGGGGAAAUCCAAUCCGCCUCGAUUUCCUCCACGCCAAGCAACUCCCGCCCGCCCGUCUCCUUCCUCGGUUCCUCCUCCCGAGACGAGACGACGAAUCGCCCGCCCAGAUCCCCAGCUCCCGGUCGAUCCACACCCCCUCCCCGGCCUCAAUCCAAGCAGAAUUCGUGGGGGGAAGCAGUUGGUCUCCCUCUCCGGGACUACGACUCUGCAAUUCUGGAUUUGUGAAGGAACCUUAUGAGCUGCUUGGCUGGGGCUCUACUCCAAUUCUGGUGCUACUAAGAUGGGUCAGGACCCGAUCAGCAACAAGUUUGGGACAAGACUAACCAUAGAUGAAGUAGCAGGCGCCUACCACUUAUCGCUUCUGCUCUCCCCUGUUGUUUCCUUCUGGGAUUGCAUCUUCCGCAAGAUAAGAUACUCAUUCAGACCUGAGUGGGUGUAGAAUCUUGCGUUGACCCUCCUUUUUAGCAGUAGCUGGUUUGCAAAUAAAUAGACCACCUAGCAAGGAGUCCAAAAGUAUGAACUUUGAAGAUUUUGUCUUUCCCUAAUUUUACAUAGAUAGUAGAGGAGUUUAGCUGAGAUAGUAAAUAGCCGGCACAGUUGUUAUGGACAAGACUAUCAUGAGCAACCAGGCAGGCAAAGUCUUGAAGAAAGGAAAAAAGAAACAGGCCAAGGAUGAACUGGAUCGCCAGAAGCAGGCUGAGAAGAAGAGACGCCGGCUAGAGAAAGCGCUGGCAAACUCGGCUGCCAUUAUUUCAGAGCUGGAAAAGAAGAAGCAGAAGAGGAAAGAAGAACGUCAAAGGCUGGAUGAGGAAGGUGCUGCGAUAGCUGAAGCAGUCGCUCUUCAUGUUCUCAUAGGUGAAGACUCCGAUGAACCCUGCCACUUGAUGCUAAACAAGCACAGAAGGUGCAGCCAUUGGGAUCCCUCGGCUGGCUUUGAAUUCACCGUGGAUCCACAGACCACUGAUAUUUAUUCUUCAGAUGGACUGAUUUGCACCAGCCAUGCAUAUGCCCCCAAAGGGAGGUGGGCUGAUUGGGGGAUUGGUCAGCCAUUGCCAUCUUGGGGAGAAGUGAGGGACCUCCAAGUCCAAGGCCCCUACUAUCAAGGAACAUUCCAUCAGUCAGUCAACUGCCCUGGUUUCAUAGCAGCCCAAGCAGUGUCGUCAUUGCAGAUCAGAGAAGACUCGUCAGAAAUCGCAUCUCCAAGCCAAGGAGCGGCAGCUGCAACUGUGGUUAACAGGAUGCUUGGUGGCGCCAACAGGCUCAACCUUUACAGAGAAAUAUAAAAAUACAUUUUGUCAUAGCAUUGUAUAUAGUCACCAAAAAAUGUGUUGACUAUGUUGCCUGCGAUAUAUGGUUUUCUUGUUUCAAAACAAAUGGAUCAAACAUCUUGUUUGCUGUUUUGUGAGUGUACUAAACUUGUAAAGGGUAUGUUGUAUCAGUUAACAUUGGUAUUGUAAUGAACAUAUAUGGUUUUGAUUUCCGUUGCUUUUCUUUCCAAGUGCUGUGAUUGGAAUGCUUCUGUAUUCUUGGCUGUGGUGCUUCUCUUUCUGAUUGCUUAUGUUUGAGUAUGUUGUAGGGGCAAGCAUAUUUAGAUGAUACAUCACUUAUGGCUUGUCAGACGAUGCUGAUGUUAAGCUUGUUUUGUCCUCGUGUAUAUUACCCCGUCUGUUUGAUCACAAAGAUUUGCCUGCAGAGUAUGGGCCUGAUAAUGACUACAUACGAAAAUUGCCUGAAUAUGAAUAAUUGCUCCAUCUUGGCUUAUUUGUGAGAAUCGAAGUAACAGGUCAACUUUUGGAGAAGACGAAGUUGCUCCCUGAUGAGAUGAGAUGGUGGUCCAACGACAAACUGAAAACCCAGGCUCCAGAUUGAAGCAUUUCCUCGUCAAGCCGAGCACGGUUGUCCCGAGUGCAGUAAGACAUUCUACAUUUGUACUGGGUGGUUGCAAUGAAGAAAGAAAGCUCAUUUUAGCUUUAUCUUGUAACCUUGCAGCAGGUGGAAUGUUGAAAUGGUGAUGCUGAGCAGAGGGCCGGCCCUCAGAUAUAUCAUAGUAUA